RNAcentral lists this transfer RNA (64 nucleotides) under Diestrammena asynamora. Its description in RNAcentral is "tRNA-His". The record is from RNAcentral. Lineage: Eukaryota; Metazoa; Arthropoda; Insecta; Orthoptera; Rhaphidophoridae.
ACUUAAGUAAUUUAAUUAAAAUAUUGAUUUGUGGUGUCAAUUAUGCAUUUAUGUGCCUUGGGUU